CUUAGUUCUGUUUGCAUUUCUUUUCAGCUGCAAAGCUCAAACUAUUUCCGGCUCUUUCGUGACAAGUAACGCUGCCGGUGGACCACCGCUGGAAUAAAACCCAAGGGCGUCAGGAGGACAACAAGGGAAUGUUUUCUGCUUCAUCUUCAUCCCUGGAAAAUGUCACACCACCAAGUCCCGCAUCACCGCUCCACUCUGGACCAUUAUUUAAUAGCGAUGGCGAAGAGCUGCUGGUCCAGCGCCAUGACUCCCGUCUGCCUCGCCUUUUCCAACACACCGUCCUACCGAUGCUGGCGUUUCCGGCGUCUGACAAGGUUUGAUGUGUUGAAGCGUGAUGUUUUUUUCCCCUUUGAAAAAUCUCCCACGAUCAACAUCAUGUUUGUUUACACUGAUUUCCAACCGGCAUGUGUGAGAAAAGGAGCGCUUGAUUUGCUCACUUUAACCUCCAUACAGCACAAAAUGGAUAUUUUAAUCUUAUUGGAUCAUUUUUGUGUGUGUUUUAGUAUUAUAAUUCAUCAUAUCAACCUUAUCGUGCGCCCCUACUUUUUCGGUUCCUGGGGAACCAAAAAAACUUGUACAAAACCCAAUGCCAGUGAAGUUGGCACAUUGUGUAAAUGGUAAAUAAAAAGAGAAUACAAUGAUUUGCAAAUCCUUUUUAAUAGAAUAAACUGCAAAGACAAGACAUGUAAUGUUCCAACUGAGAAACCUAUUUUUGUUUUGUUGCAAAUAAUCAUAAACUUAGAAUUUAAUGGCAGCAACACAUUGCAAAACAGUUGUCACAGGGGCAUUUUUACCACUGUGUUACAUGGCCUUUCCUUUUAACAACACUCAGUAAACGUUUGGGAACUGA
Molecule: long non-coding RNA, 850 nt
Organism: Nerophis ophidion (straightnose pipefish)
Lineage: Eukaryota; Metazoa; Chordata; Actinopteri; Syngnathiformes; Syngnathidae
Exons: 3
Source: RefSeq, a predicted model, not a curated record